This 503-nucleotide ribosomal RNA is filed under the name uncultured bacterium. Its description in RNAcentral is "partial 16S ribosomal RNA". It matches the Rfam family "Bacterial small subunit ribosomal RNA", at positions 30 to 523 of the family's 1533-position model. The record is from RNAcentral.
AUUGAACGCUGGCGGCAGGCUUAACACAUGCAAGUCGAGCGGGGUGAUGGUGCUUGCACUAUCACUUAGCGGCGGACGGGUGAGUAAUGCUUAGGAAUCUGCCUAUUAGUGGGGGACAACAUCUCGAAAGGGAUGCUAAUACCGCAUACGUCCUACGGGAGAAAGCAGGGGAUCACUCGUGACCUUGCGCUAAUAGAUGAGCCUAAGUCGGAUUAGCUAGUUGGUGGGGUAAAGGCCUACCAAGGCGACGAUCUGUAGCGGGUCUGAGAGGAUGAUCCGCCACACUGGGACUGGGACACGGCCCAGACUCCUACGGGAGGCAGCAGUGGGGAAUAUUGGACAAUGGGGGGAACCCUGAUCCAGCCAUGCCGCGUGUGUGAAGAAGGCCUUAUGGUUGUAAAGCACUUUAAGCGAGGAGGAGGCUUUUUUGGUUAAUACCCAAGAUGAGUGGACGUUACUCGCAGAAUAAGCACCGGCUAACUCUGUGCCAGCCGCCGCCGUAA